Molecule: ribosomal RNA, 550 nt
Filed under: uncultured bacterium
Lineage: Bacteria
Description: bacterial SSU rRNA
Rfam family: Bacterial small subunit ribosomal RNA
Source: RNAcentral
UGGGGAAUCUUCCGCAAUGGACGAAAGUCUGACGGAGCAACGCCGCGUGAGUGAUGACGGCCUUCGGGUUGUAAAGCUCUGUUAAUCGGGACGAAAGGUCUUCUUGCGAAUAGUUAGAAGAAUUGACGGUACCGGAAUAGAAAGCCACGGCUAACUACGUGCCAGCAGCCGCGGUAAUACGUAGGUGGCAAGCGUUGUCCGGAAUUAUUGGGCGUAAAGCGCGCGCAGGCGGAUAGUUAGUCUGUCUAAAAGGUCGGGGGUUAACCCCCGGAUGGGGUAGGAAACGGGGUGAUCUAGAUUAUCGGAGAGGAAAGUGGAAUUCCUAGUGUAGCGGUGAAAUGCGUAGAUAUUAGGAAGAACACCAGUGGCGAAGGCGACUUUCUGGACAAAAACUGACGCUGAGGCGCGAAAGCGGGGGNAGCGANAUGAAUUACCCCCGCCGCNNGGCCUGNCCGUAAACGAUGGGUACUAGGUGUAGGAGGUAUCGACCCCUUCUGUGCCGGAGUUAACGCAAUAAGUACCCCGCCUGGGGAGUACGACCGCAAGGUUG